AUCAACUUUCGAUGGUAGGAUAGAGGCCUACCAUGGUGGUAACGGGUAACGGGGUGUUAGGGCACGACACCGGAGAGGGAGCCUGAGAAACGGCUACCACAUCCAAGGAUGGCAGCAGGCGCGCAAAUUACCCAAUCCCGACACGGGGAGGUAGUGACAAUAAAUAACAAUACGGGGUUCUUUCGGAUUUCGUAAUUGGAAUGAGUACAAUUUAAAUCUCUUAACGAGGAACAAUUGGAGGGCAAGUCUGGUGCCAGCAGCCGCGGUAAUUCCAGCUCCAAUAGCGUAUAUUAAAGUUGCUGCAGUUAAAAAGCUCGUAGUUGAAUUUCGGGACCAAUAUGUCGGUCGUGCCUCGGUACGUACUGGCAUCGUUGGUUUCUCCCUUCUGACGAACCAUGAUGUCAUUUAUUUGGUGUCGUGGGGAAUCAGGACUGUUACUUUGAAAAAAUUAGAGUGUUUAAAGCAGGCUCACGCUUGAAUACAUUAGCAUGGAAUAAUGAAAUAGGACGUUUGAUUCUAUUUUGUUGGUUUCUAGGAUUGACGUAAUGAUUAAUAGGGAUAGUUGGGGGCAUUAGUAUUCAAUUGUCAGAGGUGAAAUUCUUGGAUUUAUUGAAGACUAACUACUGCGAAAGCAUUUGCCAAGGAUGUUUUCAUUAAUCAAGAACGAAAGUUAGGGGAUCGAAGACGAUCAGAUACCGUCGUAGUCUUAACCAUAAACUAUGCCGACUAGGGAUCGGAUGAUGUUAAUUUUUUAAUGACUCAUUCGGCGCCUUACGGGAAACCAAAGUGUUUGGGUUC
This 798-nucleotide ribosomal RNA is filed under the name uncultured Glomus. RNAcentral describes it as "SSU rRNA". It matches the Rfam family "Eukaryotic small subunit ribosomal RNA", at positions 314 to 1114 of the family's 1831-position model. Lineage: Eukaryota; Fungi; Glomeromycota; Glomeromycetes; Glomerales; Glomeraceae. The record is from RNAcentral.